AGCAAUGAUGUUACAAGUAGCACCAGAGCUAUGGAAAAUAUUGAUGAAUACACGAUAGAAUUACUUGAUGUCUCAUCUGGCUUGAACUUCGCUGUUGAUUCAUUCAUCAUCAGCAAGACAAAACUGAACCCAUGCACCACCUACCAAAUAAAUGUCACUGUCAACAGCAGCAUCAUUUGUAGAUUAAAUGGUACCACAACCUCUUUCAAAACCAGAAACAUAGGCAAGGAGGAUGUAUCCCAAAAUGGACCGAGCAAAACGACACAUCAGUUAAAAUUUGUUUUGAGACACACAAGUGGUUGACGUAGGAAUGGUGUUUUGAGGAGAACAGGACUUGUGAGUUGAAAUCAUUUGAGAUAGGUCCGGAGAAUUGUCCUGUCAUCAUAGAGGAUGUCCCACUUGUUGGUCAGAUUGAUCUAUAUUAUGAGAACAAAUACCCUAUUGAGAUUGAAUGGAAAAACAAACCCAGCAACUGUAAUGAUACCUUGGAUUUUAACUGUAAAGGACGAGAUGGUUCAUCAUAUCCGGUUGACAAAU
Molecule: long non-coding RNA, 537 nt
Organism: Alosa sapidissima (American shad)
Lineage: Eukaryota; Metazoa; Chordata; Actinopteri; Clupeiformes; Clupeidae
Exons: 4
Source: RefSeq, a predicted model, not a curated record